AGUGGGGAAUAUUGCACAAUGGAGGAAACUCUGAUGCAGCCAUGCCGCGUGUGUGAAGAAGGCUUUCGGGUUGUAAAGCACUUUCAGCGAGGAGGAAAGGGUAUGUUUUAAUAGAGCAUAUCUGUGACGUUACUCGCAGAAGAAGCACCGGCUAACUCCGUGCCAGCAGCCGCGGUAAUACGGAGGGUGCGAGCGUUAAUCGGAAUUACUGGGCGUAAAGCGCGCGUAGGUGGUUAAUUAAGUCAGAUGUGAAAGCCCAGGGCUCAACCUUGGAACUGCAUUUGAAACUGAUUGACUAGAGUUUUGUAGAGGGUGGUAGAAUUUCAGGUGUAGCGGUGAAAUGCGUAGAGAUCUGAAGGAAUACCAGUGGCGAAGGCGGCCACCUGGACAAAGACUGACACUGAGGCGCGAAGGCGUGGGGAGCAAACGGGAUUAGAUACCCCGGUAGUCCACGCAGUAAACGAUGUCUAUUAGAAGUUUGUGGCUAUAUGCCGUGGGUUUCAAAGCUAACGCAUUAAAUAGACCGCCUGGGGAGUACGGCCGCAAGGUUAAAACUCAAAUGAAUUGACGGGGGCCCGCACAAGCGGUGGAGCAUGUGGUUUAAUUCGAUGCAACGCGAAGAACCUUACCAUCCCUUGACAUCCAGAGAAUCACCUAGAGAUAGAUGAGUGCCUUCGGGAACUCUGAGACAGGUGCUGCAUGGCUGUCGUCAGCUCGUGUUGUGAAAUGUUGGGUUAAGUCCCGCAACGAGCGCAACCCUUAUCCUUACUUGCCAGCGGGUCAUGCCGGGAACUUUAGGGAGACUGCCGGUGAUAAACCGGAGGAAGGUGGGGACGACGUCAAGUCAUCAUGGCCCUUACGGGAUGGGCUACACACGUGCUACAAUGGCAGAUACAAAGGGUUGCUAACCUGCGAAGGUAUGCGAAUCUCAUAAAGUCUGUCGUAGUCCGGAUCGGAGUCUGCAACUCGACUCCGUGAAGUUGGAAUCGCUAGUAAUCGUGGAUCAGAAUGCCACGGUGAAUACGU
Molecule: ribosomal RNA, 1026 nt
Filed under: uncultured bacterium
Lineage: Bacteria
Description: bacterial SSU rRNA
Rfam family: Bacterial small subunit ribosomal RNA
Source: RNAcentral